This 69-nucleotide transfer RNA is filed under the name Marmota monax (woodchuck). It matches the Rfam family "tRNA". Rfam says of the family: Transfer RNA (tRNA) molecules are approximately 80 nucleotides in length. Their secondary structure includes four short double-helical elements and three loops (D, anti-codon, and T loops). Further hydrogen bonds mediate the characteristic L-shaped molecular structure. tRNAs have two regions of fundamental functional importance: the anti-codon, which is responsible for specific mRNA codon recognition, and the 3' end, to which the tRNAs corresponding amino acid is attached (by aminoacyl-tRNA synthetases). tRNAs cope with the degeneracy of the genetic code in two manners: having more than one tRNA (with a specific anti-codon) for a particular amino acid; and 'wobble' base-pairing, i.e. permitting non-standard base-pairing at the 3rd anti-codon position. Lineage: Eukaryota; Metazoa; Chordata; Mammalia; Rodentia; Sciuridae. The record is from Rfam by way of RNAcentral.
GGUGCUAUAGCUCAGUGGUAGAGCACUUGCCUAGCACGUGGAAGACAAUGCGUUCAAUCCUUAGCAUCA